Long non-coding RNA from Fundulus heteroclitus (mummichog), 404 nucleotides. RefSeq lists it as uncharacterized. The transcript is spliced from 2 exons. Lineage: Eukaryota; Metazoa; Chordata; Actinopteri; Cyprinodontiformes; Fundulidae. The record is from RefSeq and is a predicted model, not a curated record.
AAAAUCUGUUCCUGGGUUCCAGUCCUCUUCCUCUUUGUUCUCAGAGUUUGUUGGAGAACUCACCUCAAUGGCCUCCAUGAAUUUUCUCAUGUUCCUCUGGCUGCUCCCCCCUGGAUUUGCUAUCGGGACCCCUUCCCAAUCCUCCUGCAAAACUUACCUACGUAUCCACCCUCCAUCACUUCACCAUAAUCUCCUGGAAGAAAGAACAGGAAAUGAUUAUCAACCUGCCGAUCACAGCCUCUUUGGGUAUACUCAUCACCUCCCUGGAAACUCCACCAUCCCAUCAACAGGCCUUCCUGGAUGGUCCCCCUGAACCUAGAAGAAUCAUUUAUUAAUUUGCUUGUAUGAAAUAGCUGUUCAAACCUUUCAUUGUUUUCCAUAGUUGUUGCCAGCAUGACAGUCUG